This 23-nucleotide non-coding RNA is filed under the name Arabidopsis thaliana (thale cress). Lineage: Eukaryota; Viridiplantae; Streptophyta; Magnoliopsida; Brassicales; Brassicaceae. The record is from RNAcentral.
GUAACCUCCUCCAACCGCCGGAA